This 1119-nucleotide ribosomal RNA is filed under the name uncultured eukaryote. Its description in RNAcentral is "SSU rRNA". It matches the Rfam family "Eukaryotic small subunit ribosomal RNA", at positions 78 to 1153 of the family's 1831-position model. The record is from RNAcentral.
GCCCUGAAACUGCGAAUGGCUCAUAAAUCAGUUAUAGUUUAUUUGAUGAUGUUUUUUAUUGGAUAUCUGUUCUAAUUGAAGAGCUAAUACAUGCAAAAAGGAAUGUAGCUUGCCUACAUUCUGUAUUUAUUAGAUACAAACAACCAUUUCAUGGUGAUUCAUAAUAACUUUAGAGAUCGCAGUGCCCUUGAGGCGGCGACAGAUCAUUCAAAUUUCUGCCCUAUCAACUUUAGAUGGUAGUGUAGUGGACUACCAUGGUAUUAACGGGUAACGGAGAAUUAGGGUUCGAUUUCGGAGAGGGAGCCUGAGAAAUGGCUACCACUUCCAAGGAAGGCAGCAGGCGCGAAAAUUACCCAAAUAGGAACUUCUUGAGGUAGUGACAAGAAAUAACAAUGCGGGUUGUUAUACAAUUCGUAAUUGGAAUGAGAUUAAGUUAAAACUCUUUUUGAGGAUCAAUUGGAGGGCAAGUCUGGUGCCAGCAGCCGCGGUAAUUCCAGCUCCAAGAGCGUAUAUUAAAGUUGUUGCAGUUAAAAAGCUCGUAGUUGGAUUUUUUAUAGCUAAGGUUUGUGAGAUGGUCUUGUCUAACAUGUACCUUUCACUCUUAGCUAAACCGUGAUCAGAAGGGAGUUUCAUAUUAUUAACUUAAUGUGGAAUUCCAAAUUAAAAAAACUUUUGAUCACAUUUUACUUUGAAAAAAUUAGAGUGUUUAAAGCAAGGAGCUACUCCUUUGAAUAGAUUAGCAUGGGAUAAUAGAAUACGAUUUUAAUCUAGUUUGGUUGUUUACUUGAUUAAAAUAAUGAUUAAUAGAGAUAGUUGGGGGUAUUCAUAUUUAAUUGUCAGAGGUGAAAUUCUUGGAUUUAUGAAAGAUGAACUUAUGCGAAAGCAUUUAUCAAGGAUGUUUUCAUUGAUCAAGAACGAAAGUUAGGGGAUCGAAGAUGAUCAGAUACCGUCGUAGUCCUAACCAUAAACUAUGCCGACCAGAGAUUGGAUUAAGGAUAUUUUCUUUUAAAAUAUAUCCUUUUGUGUAUUCAUUAAAACACUUUUCCAGGAUCUUGUGAGAAAUCAUAAGUAUUUGGGUUCUGGGGGGAGUAUGGUCGCAAGGCUGAAACUUAAAAGGGC